GUCCGCUAAUGACGGCUUGUAUAAGUGGUCAUAUUCUUCGUUUUAAUGAUGACGGUAUUGUGCGAUGAAAAGGGAAAUGUGAGACUCCGUAAAGGAUGUAGUUAGCAGACCAAUGGCAGCCUUGUGCGCUGCUGGAGGCUUGUGUCGACGCAAGCCUAGAAAAAUGUCUCGACACACGCAAGGAUGCAAGGAGGUGUGAAAAGGCACGCAAGGGACACGCAAGAGGCUCUUGCGUCUGCGUCGCUCUGAAAAUGCAGAAGCAUAAACUAGGCUUAAAAGACUAACAAAUUGUAGCACUUAAAUUGUACUUAUAAUGGCUCUUACCUAUUGCAAGUUGUAAAUCGGCUAAUUUGUUGAAAUUGCACUUUCUUGUUGCUUGUUCUUCUGUGUCUGUAUUCUUAUGUUAAGUCACUUUGGAUAAAAGCGUCACCUACAUGACAUGUAAUGUAAUCAUGAUUCCUGAAAUGAAUGAGACAGUGGAUUGAAUAAUGCAUUUUAGUUUCCAUGUUAUUAUCCUAUGUAAUGCUUCUUAUUAGGUCUGACCAUUCAUUGUUGAGCAGGGAAAUGAGACCAUUUAUCUGAAACGCAAACUCAUGCAUCUGUAUUUAUAUUGGCGAGCAAGUCAUUGCAGUGUCUAUCAAAACUAUUGCUUUAAAUAAUUUGGCCUAAGGUUGAGUAGACUGCCAUUUUACCUUUUAGUCUGAAAUUACUAUAUGUACUGCCUGCAUGAAUUGACCCAUCGUGCUCACAAAAAAAUGAGGAUUCACUUGCUGCACAAACUGCUGUAUGAAGAUACGUUGACUAUGAUUGACGAUUAAACAGAUGUUAAUGUUAAAUGCUGUAUCUAAGGAAUUGCUGACUUUGACUUUCCUGAUAACUAAAAACAUGGAACUUUACUGAUUUGCAAAUCGAGGUUUGAUUUUGAACGUAAAAGCCUGAUUUCUUUCAUUCUCUUCAUCUCUCUUUUGUGUUCAUCUCUUAAUUCUGGCCCUUUCCUGCUCGCUGUAUUCCAGGCAUCUAGGGAUACUUUGGGCAAUAAAGAUGUCAGGAGAAAAUCUCUGCCGAUAAACCCGCUCUUCGGCCAAUGGAGAACAGCGAUUUGCU
This is a long non-coding RNA of Gasterosteus aculeatus aculeatus (three-spined stickleback), 1104 nucleotides long. NCBI's taxonomy places the organism in Eukaryota, Metazoa, Chordata, Actinopteri, Perciformes, Gasterosteidae. The record is from Ensembl.